AGCAGCCGCGGUAAUUCCAGCUCCAAUAGCGUAUAUUAAAGUUGUUGCAGUUAAAAAGCUCGUAGUUGAAUUUCGGGGUCAGUAAGUUGGUCGUGCCACUGGUAUGUACUGGCUUUACUGAUUCCUCCUUCUUGUAGAACCGUAAUGCCAUUAAGUUGGUGUUGCGGGAAAACAGGACUGUUACUUUGAAAAAAUUUAGAGUGUUUAAAGCAAGCUAACGCUUGAAUACAUUAGCAUGGAAUAAUGAAAUAGGACGAACGAUCCUAUUUUGUUGGUUUCUAGGAUUGACGUAAUGAUUAAUAGGGAUAGUUGGGGGGCCAUUAGUAUUCAAUUGUCAGAGGUGAAAUUCUUGGAUUUAUUGAAGACUAACUACUGCGAAAGCAUUUUGCCAAGGAUGCUUUCAUUAAUCAAGAACGAAAGUUAGGGGAUCGAAGACGAUCAGAUACCGUCGUAGUCUUAACCAUAAACUAUGCCGACUAGGGGAUCGGAUGAUGUUAAUUUUUUUCAAUGACUCAUUCGG
RNAcentral lists this ribosomal RNA (520 nucleotides) under uncultured Glomus. RNAcentral describes it as "SSU rRNA". It matches the Rfam family "Eukaryotic small subunit ribosomal RNA", at positions 569 to 1083 of the family's 1831-position model. The record is from RNAcentral. Lineage: Eukaryota; Fungi; Glomeromycota; Glomeromycetes; Glomerales; Glomeraceae.